UCCUUCAGGGCAGGGUGAAAUUCCCGACCGGCGGUGAUCACUUUCGUGUAAGCCCGCGAGCCCCUCGUUCGCGAAAGCGGCAGGGUGCAGGAUCUGGUGCGAGUCCAGAGCCGACAGUACAGUCUGGAUGGGAGAAGGA
This 139-nucleotide non-coding RNA is filed under the name Brevibacillus massiliensis. RNAcentral's name for it is "FMN riboswitch (RFN element)". It matches the Rfam family "FMN riboswitch aptamer (RFN element)". Rfam says of the family: The RFN element is a highly conserved domain that is found frequently in the 5'-untranslated regions of prokaryotic mRNAs that encode for flavin mononucleotide (FMN) biosynthesis and transport proteins. This element is a metabolite-dependent riboswitch that directly binds FMN in the absence of proteins. Lineage: Bacteria; Bacillati; Bacillota; Bacilli; Caryophanales; Paenibacillaceae. The record is from RNAcentral.